This is an RNA transcript of Gossypium raimondii (Peruvian cotton), 2835 nucleotides long. RefSeq lists it as uncharacterized. NCBI's taxonomy places the organism in Eukaryota, Viridiplantae, Streptophyta, Magnoliopsida, Malvales, Malvaceae. The transcript is spliced from 15 exons. The record is from RefSeq and is a predicted model, not a curated record.
AUUAUUAUACCAAAUUGAGUCAAACACAAACUCCUUGAACACAAAGAAAAUAUAAAUUUUGGCGGAAGUGAGAACUCAGAACCCUAAACUUUAAGAAUUUAAACUAAACACCGAAAGAAAAUUCCCGAUUAAAGGGGGAAAAGAAAAACCUAAAAUCCCAGUUGGUGAGUGAGGUGCAAUGGGAGUGAUAAAAGAGGGCAGAGUCUCAGGCACGUUGCCGAAAGAUGAGGCGUUUGCCGUUCACUACCCGGGCUAUCCUAAGACCACCUCUCGCGCCAUCCAGACUCUUGGAGGAACCGAAGGGAUUCUCAAGGCUCGUAUCUCGCAGUCAAACAGAUUGGAGCUCCAUUUCCGUCCCGAGGAUCCGUACUCGCAUCCUGCAUUCGGUGAGAUUAGCCCCUGUAACAAUUUGCUGCUUAAAAUAUCGAAAAAGAAGUGUUCUAAUCGCCAAACCGCCGAAGCUUCAAGUAAGUUACAAGAGUGUUCAACAUCAGGAGUAAAUGAUGCGGAAAACCCGAAACAGCCAUUUCAAGUUGAAGUGGAGAGACCGGAAGAAGAAGAAGAAGAAGAAGAGGAAUCGAACCUUUGUGCUGAUAUUGUUUGUCGUGUCUCCGAAGCUUACAAUUUUGAUGGAAUGGCUGAUUAUCAGCAUGUUCUCCCUGUUCAUGCCAAUGCUGCCAGGAAAAGAAAGGGAAAUUGGGUGGAAGCAGAAGAGACAUCCUUUGAAAAAGGUGGGUUCAUGGAUGUGGAUCAAGAGGAUGUGAUGAUGAUAUUGCCUCCGCUCUUUUCACCCAAAGAUAUGCCAGAGAAUGUAGUGUUAAGACCAUCAACCAUCUUAAGUUCAAAAAAGAACCAAGAGGUAGCUGUACAUUAUAGUGCUCAGGUUGACCUAGAGCCAGGCCUUGCAAUUGAUUUCAACAUUAAAGAGGUUCCUAAGAAUGUGAACUGGGAGGAACAUAUAACCCAGGGCUCAGAGCAGUGGGAGUGGCAGAUGACUGUAUCUAAGCUAUUUGAAGAACGGCCUAUAUGGCCCAAGGAAUCUGUAACUGAGCGCUUGCUUCAGAAAGGUCUAAAAUUUAGCCAUUUGGUGCUUAAAAGGCUUCUACUUGGGGUUGCUUACUACUUCUCAAAUGGACCAUUUCGGAGAUUCUGGAUCAGAAAAGGAUAUGAUCCUCGCAAAGAUCCUGAGUCUCGCAUAUAUCAGAGAACUGAUUUUCGUGUACCUGAACCAUUGCGGAACUAUGCAGAUGCUAAUGUGGCUAACAAUUUGACGCAUAAGUGGGGAGAUUUAUGUUCAUUCCAAGUAUUUCCUUACAAAUUCCAGAUGAUUUUACAACUAUUUGAACUGGAUGAUGAUUACAUUCAACAAGAGAUACGAAAGCCUCCAAAAUUAGAAACAUGCGAUCCUAAAACUGGAUGGUUCUCCGAGUGUGUGCUUGAUUGCCUGAGACUUCGUGUAGCAGUGAGGUUCUUGUCAGUAUAUCCCAAAACUGGUGCAGAAAGCAUACUGAAAUCUUGCUCUAAUGAAUUUGAGAAGUUAAAGAGGUCAUGCUUAUACAAGGAUGUCUUCAACUCUCAUCAAGAGGAGCAUCAGCAAACUAAUAAAGGUGAUGGUGAUAAAGAGAGACCCAAAAGUUCUGAUAAUAAGGAAGAUGAAGUUGAAGCUGAGGAUGAAGAGGAAUUGGAUGCGUAUGAUGAGACACUUAAUCUGGUUGAUGAGGAUGAUGAAAUCUCUUUGCAACCUGAUACAUAUUUAGAUAUGGAGAACAACUCAAGGACAUACUUGCAAGAGCUUUUUGGUAGCUUUCCAUCAACUGGAUCUGGUACUGAUGCUAUACAGGCUGCAGACACUAGUGAUGGAGAGUAUGAAAUAUAUGAACAAUUUGGUGAUGAUAACUACUCUGAUGAUGACGAUGACGAUGACGAUGAUGAUGAUGGUGGUGAUGAUAGCUAACGUUCCUAACUCCAAAGUUUACAGGUAGCUUUCUUGCCUUCGUUUUGGCUCCUUUUAGUCAUUCAUCUUGCUUCACUUACAGCAACAACAGUUCAAAAUUUCUAAUGGAAAUUUAUGCGAUUGAUUUGUUGGUCAGAGGAUAUAGCUAGUAUCUUUCUAAGUUAUACUUUCCAUAAAGCAGCUUAAACUAAUAAUAGCUUUGUGUUUCUGAUCUCAAACACAUUCUUUUUGAAGUUGUCAAAACUUGUACACUACCAUAACAUCUCAGGAGCAAAAAAUUUUAAUGAGACUUCAAAAAAGGUGAACCUAUCCAAUUGGAACAUUACAUUUUAGAAUCUCUCAUAUUUUUUACGUCUUUUAGGCCUUUUAAUAUAAAUUGGACAUGAAAUUGUUGUGCUGCUUUUUGGUAUUUUCACUGUAGAUUUUCAGAUUCUUGAAGCUACAAUAUGUGGUAGGGUGGGGAAGAUAUACUGCAGUUAAGUCUUUCUAGCUAGAGAGAAGGGUGACUAGAUAUCUGCAUGUUCCAUUGCAGGUCUUGUUUACAUAUCAGUUCCUAAAUUACCAAUUAUCAGGAACCGUCUUUUAGCCAAACUGAUUUGUGCUUUAGAUAAGGAAACAUACUGUUAUGAAAAGGACAUGGUCCUUUGUAAAUUAAGAGGAGACAACGAAUUUCCAGGAAUAAUCAUCACAGUUGAAGCAUUAGCUCUGUUUUUGUUCUUUUUCUUAGUGGACUUAAUGUCGCUUCAUGGCUAGUCUGCUAGGGCUGUAAAUGAAUUGGGUCUUAACAAUCUUUUUAUUCAUGCUUGUUUAUUUACUUUUGAAUCUGCCUGUGUGUUAAAACUUUCUAAAAUGUUUCUGAGCUUAAGUUCAUUUAUGUUCAA